UCGUCCUGUGAAUUCAGAUGCAGUCAAGAAAUACUUCGCCUAAAAAAAAUAAAAAUAAAAAAAAGCAGCUAAGUUGAAUCCUCGAAAGGGCGACUUAGGCAAAAAAGGAGCGUCUCGGUGGAUUGAAAACCCGAAAGGGCGAUCCAGGCAAAAGUUAGAGACAUUGAAAAAAAGAAUUUGCAUCCCGCUAGAUUGAGUACCUCACACUGGGGCAAUCUAGGCAAAAAUUAGGGAUUUG
RNAcentral lists this long non-coding RNA (238 nucleotides) under Lathyrus oleraceus (garden pea). Its description in RNAcentral is "Pisum sativum (pea) long non-coding RNA (PSAT_LNC027842)". Lineage: Eukaryota; Viridiplantae; Streptophyta; Magnoliopsida; Fabales; Fabaceae. The record is from RNAcentral.